Molecule: ribosomal RNA, 253 nt
Filed under: uncultured bacterium
Lineage: Bacteria
Description: partial 16S ribosomal RNA
Rfam family: Bacterial small subunit ribosomal RNA
Source: RNAcentral
UACGGGGGGGGCAAGCGUUGUUCGGAAUUACUGGGCGUAAAGGGCUCGUAGGCGGCCAACUAAGUCAGACGUGAAAUCCCCAGGCUCAACCUGGGAACUGCGUCUGAUACUGGAUGGCUUGAAUCCGGGAGAGGGAUGCAGAAUUCCAGGUGUAGCGGUGAAAUGCGUAGAUAUCUGGAGGAACACCGGUGGCGAAGGCGGCAUUCUGGACCGGCAUUGACGCUGAGGCGCGAAAGCCAGGGGAGCAAACGGG